GAUAACAGCCAUAUCACCCUGCAGCCCAGACCGGUUACUCCAUGAAGCUAAGCAAGGCUGAGCCUAGCCAGUCCCUGGCUGGGAGACCACAUGGGAAAACUAGGUUGCUGUUGGAA
Danio rerio (zebrafish) is the source of this 116-nucleotide ribosomal RNA. The record is from Ensembl. Lineage: Eukaryota; Metazoa; Chordata; Actinopteri; Cypriniformes; Danionidae.